GUACACAAAAAUGCACAUAUUGUGAGCUCGAUGAGUAGGGCGGGACACGUGGUAUCCUGUCUGAAUAUGGGGGGACCAUCCUCCAAGGCUAAAUACUCCUGACUGACCGAUAGUGAACCAGUACCGUGAGGGAAAGGCGAAAAGAACCCCGGCGAGGGGAGUGAAAAAGAACCUGAAACCGUGUACGUACAAGCAGUGGGAGCCUCUUUAUGGGGUGACUGCGUACCUUUUGUAUAAUGGGUCAGCGACUUAUAUUCUGUAGCAAGGUUAACCGAAUAGGGGAGCCGAAGGGAAACCGAGUCUUAACUGGGCGUUAAGUUGCAGGGUAUAGACCCGAAACCCGGUGAUCUAGCCAUGGGCAGGUUGAAGGUUGGGUAACACUAACUGGAGGACCGAACCGACUAAUGUUGAAAAAUUAGCGGAUGACUUGUGGCUGGGGGUGAAAGGCCAAUCAAACCGGGAGAUAGCUGGUUCUCCCCGAAAGCUAUUUAGGUAGCGCCUCGUGAAUUCAUCUCCGGGGGUAGAGCACUGUUUCGGCAAGGGGGUCAUCCCGACUUACCAACCCGAUGCAAACUGCGAAUACCGGAGAAUGUUAUCACGGGAGACACACGGCGGGUGCUAACGUCCGUCGUGAAGAGGGAAACAACCCAGACCGCCAGCUAAGGUCCCAAAGUCAUGGUUAAGUGGGAAACGAUGUGGGAAGGCCCAGACAGCCAGGAUGUUGGCUUAGAAGCAGCCAUCAUUUAAAGAAAGCGUAAUAGCUCACUGGUCGAGUCGGCCUGCGCGGAAGAUGUAACGGGGCUA
Molecule: ribosomal RNA, 804 nt
Filed under: Escherichia coli
Lineage: Bacteria; Pseudomonadati; Pseudomonadota; Gammaproteobacteria; Enterobacterales; Enterobacteriaceae
Description: partial 23S ribosomal RNA
Rfam family: Bacterial large subunit ribosomal RNA
Source: RNAcentral